This is a non-coding RNA of Janthinobacterium sp. B9-8, 177 nucleotides long. The record is from Rfam. NCBI's taxonomy places the organism in Bacteria, Pseudomonadati, Pseudomonadota, Betaproteobacteria, Burkholderiales, Oxalobacteraceae.
GCUUUCCUGCGGUGUUUGUUACGACUUGUCUCUCUGAACCAAUAAUUACUUUGGUUGCCUGCCAUGAGUAUGCCUGUUGUGAGCAUCCCCCGUUGGAUGCACCUGAUGGCAUCCGGUCGGUGACCGCUUGAACCUUCGGUUCAAGAUUGCUCGUCGGACGGCACUCGCGGGAAGCUC